RNAcentral lists this transfer RNA (72 nucleotides) under Candidatus Pacearchaeota archaeon CG10_big_fil_rev_8_21_14_0_10_35_13. RNAcentral describes it as "tRNA-Arg". It matches the Rfam family "tRNA". Rfam says of the family: Transfer RNA (tRNA) molecules are approximately 80 nucleotides in length. Lineage: Archaea; Nanobdellati. The record is from RNAcentral.
GAGCUCAUAGUUCAAUGGAUAGAAUUUUCGGCUUCGGACCGGACGAUGGGGGUUCGAAUCCUCCUGGGCUCG